This 350-nucleotide unclassified non-coding RNA is filed under the name plant metagenome. Its description in RNAcentral is "partial contains 5.8S ribosomal RNA, internal transcribed spacer 2, and large subunit ribosomal RNA". The stretch from base 1 to 105 matches the Rfam family "5.8S ribosomal RNA", at positions 50 to 154 of the family's 154-position model. The record is from RNAcentral.
GAAAUGCGAUAAGUAAUGUGAAUUGCAGAAUUCAGUGAAUCAUCGAAUCUUUGAACGCACCUUGCGCUCCUUGGUAUUCCGAGGAGCAUGCCUGUUUGAGUGUCAUGGAAUUCUCACCUCUAUUUGCUUUUGUGAAUAGAGCUUGGAUUUGGAGGUUUAUUGCUGGUACUUGUGAUCGGCUCCUCUUGAAUGCAUUAGCUCUAACCUUUGCGGAUCAGCUAUCGGUGUGAUAAUUGUCUACGCCGUUGCAGUGAAGCAUAUCAAUGGGCUCGGCUUCCAAUCGUCCUUUACUGGACAAUGACUUUGACCUUUGACCUCAAAUCAGGUAGGAUUACCCGCUGAACUUAAGC